Molecule: ribosomal RNA, 253 nt
Filed under: uncultured bacterium
Lineage: Bacteria
Description: partial 16S ribosomal RNA
Rfam family: Bacterial small subunit ribosomal RNA
Source: RNAcentral
UACGUAGGGGGCAAGCGUUGUCCGGAUUUAUUGGGCGUAAAGAGCGUGUAGGCGGCCAGGUAGGUCUGCUGUGAAAACUCGAGGCUCAACCUCGAGAUGUCGGCGGAAACCAUCUGGCUAGAGUUCGGCAGGGGAGACUGGAAUUCCCGGUGUAGCGGUGAAAUGCGCAGAUAUCAGGAGGAACACCGGUGGCGAAGGCGGGUCUCUGGGCCGAUACUGACGCUGAGGAGCGAAAGCGUGGGGAGCGAACAGG